RNAcentral lists this ribosomal RNA (253 nucleotides) under uncultured bacterium. Its description in RNAcentral is "partial 16S ribosomal RNA". It matches the Rfam family "Bacterial small subunit ribosomal RNA", at positions 524 to 776 of the family's 1533-position model. The record is from RNAcentral.
UACAGAGGUCUCAAGCGUUGUUCGGAUUCAUUGGGCGUAAAGGGUGCGUAGGCGGCGGGGCAAGUCAGGUGUGAAAUCCCGGAGCUCAACUCCGGAACUGCACUUGAUACUGCCUCGCUAGAGUACUGGAGAGGAGACUGGAAUUUACGGUGUAGCAGUGAAAUGCGUAGAUAUCUGGAGGAAUACCGGUGGCGAAGGCGGCAUCCUGGACCGACAUUGACGCUGAACGGCGAAAGCUAGGGGAGCAAACGGG